AGCCCCAAGAUGCAGAGUUCUGAUGGAGAGAUAUUUGAAGUUGAUGUUGAAAUUGCUAAACAGUCUGUGACAAUCAAGACCAUGUUGGAAGAUUUGGGAAUGGAUGAUGAAGGAGAUGAUGACCCAGUUCCUCUACCAAAUGUUAAUGCAGCAAUAUUAAAAAAAGGUCAUUCAGUGGUGUACCCACCACAAGGAUGACCCUCCUGCUCCUGAGGAUGAUGAGAACAAAGAAAAGCAAACAGAUGACAUCCCUGUUUAGGACCCAGAAUUCCUGAAAGUUGACCAAGGAACGCUUUUUGAACUUAUUCUGGCAGCAAACUACCUAGGCAUCAAAGGCUUGCUUGAUGUUACAUGCAAGACUUUGCCAAUAUGAUCAAGGGGAAAACUCCUGAGGAGAUUUGCAAGACUUUUAAUACCAAAAAUGACUUUACUGAAGAGGAGGAAGCCCAGGUACGCAAGGAGAACCAGUGGUGUGAAGAGAAGUGAAAUGUUGUGCCUGACACUAACACUAUAAGGAUUGUUCCAAAUACUAGUUGCACUGCUCUGUUUAUAAUUGUUAAUAUUAGACAAACAAUAGACAAAUGCAGCAGCAAAACAAUUGUAUUAGCAUAAUAUUGUCUUCAUUGCAUGUGUAGUUUGAAUUACAGAUUCCAAACCAAUGGCUGAAUUUCUUCUAGUCUGAGCAAAAGUUGCUGGUUUUCUUUCCUCUGAAUAAAACUGAACUGUGGGUUCUCUGUA
Octodon degus (degu) is the source of this 738-nucleotide RNA transcript. It is a transcript of the gene named S-phase kinase-associated protein 1 pseudogene, with no coding region annotated. Lineage: Eukaryota; Metazoa; Chordata; Mammalia; Rodentia; Octodontidae. The transcript has a single exon. The record is from RefSeq and is a predicted model, not a curated record.